GUGGGGAAUAUUGGACAAUGGGCGAAAGCCUGAUCCAGCAAUGCCGCGUGAGUGAAGAAGGCCUUCGGGUUGUAAAGCUCUUUUACCCGGGAAGAUAAUGACUGUACCGGGAGAAUAAGCCCCGGCUAACUCCGUGCCAGCAGCCGCGGUAAUACGGAGGGGGCUAGCGUUGUUCGGAAUUACUGGGCGUAAAGCGCACGUAGGCGGUCUUUUAAGUCAGAGGUGAAAGCCCGGGGCUCAACUCCGGAAUUGCCUUUGAAACUGGAAGACUUGAACACGGGAGAGGUGAGUGGAAUUCCGAGUGUAGAUGUGAAAUUCGUAGAUAUUCGGAGGAACACCAGUGGCGAAGGCGGCUCACUGGACCGUUGUUGACGCUGAGGUGCGAAAGCGUGGGGAGCAAACAGGAUUAGAAACCCCUGUAGUCC
RNAcentral lists this ribosomal RNA (425 nucleotides) under uncultured bacterium. RNAcentral describes it as "partial 16S ribosomal RNA". It matches the Rfam family "Bacterial small subunit ribosomal RNA", at positions 354 to 796 of the family's 1533-position model. The record is from RNAcentral.